GAACGCUAGCUACAGGCUUAACACAUGCAAGUCGAGGGGCAGCAUGGUCUUAGCUUGCUAAGGCCGAUGGCGACCGGCGCACGGGUGAGUAACACGUAUCCAACCUGCCGUCUACUCUUGGACAGCCUUCUGAAAGGAAGAUUAAUACAAGAUGGCAUCAUGAGUCCGCAUGUUCACAUGAUUAAAGGUAUUCCGGUAGACGAUGGGGAUGCGUUCCAUUAGAUAGUAGGCGGGGUAACGGCCCACCUAGUCUUCGAUGGAUAGGGGUUCUGAGAGGAAGGUCCCCCACAUUGGAACUGAGACACGGUCCAAACUCCUACGGGAGGCAGCAGUGAGGAAUAUUGGUCAAUGGGCGAGAGCCUGAACCAGCCAAGUAGCGUGAAGGAUGACUGCCCUAUGGGUUGUAAACUUCUUUUAUAAAGGAAUAAAGUCGGGUAUGCAUACCCGUUUGCAUGUACUUUAUGAAUAAGGAUCGGCUAACUCCGUGCCAGCAGCCGCGGUAAUACGGAGGAUCCGAGCGUUAUCCGGAUUUAUUGGGUUUAAAGGGAGCGUAGAUGGAUGUUUAAGUCAGUUGUGAAAGUUUGCGGCUCAACCGUAAAAUUGCAGUUGAUACUGGAUAUCUUGAGUGCAGUUGAGGCAGGCGGAAUUCGUGGUGUAGCGGUGAAAUGCUUAGAUAUCACGAAGAACUCCGAUUGCGAAGGCAGCCUGCUAAGCUGCAACUGACAUUGAGGCUCGAAAGUGUGGGUAUCAAACAGGAUUAGAUACCCUGGUAGUCCACACGGUAAACGAUGAAUACUCGCUGUUUGCGAUAUACGGCAAGCGGCCAAGCGAAAGCGUUAAGUAUUCCACCUGGGGAGUACGCCGGCAACGGUGAAACUCAAAGGAAUUGACGGGGGCCCGCACAAGCGGAGGAACAUGUGGUUUAAUUCGAUGAUACGCGAGGAACCUUACCCGGGCUUAAAUUGCAGAUGAAUUACGGUGAAAGCCGUAAGCCGCAAGGCAUCUGUGAAGGUGCUGCAUGGUUGUCGUCAGCUCGUGCCGUGAGGUGUCGGCUUAAGUGCCAUAACGAGCGCAACCCUUGUUGUCAGUUACUAACAGGUUCCGCUGAGGACUCUGACAAGACUGCCAUCGUAAGAUGUGAGGAAGGUGGGGAUGACGUCAAAUCAGCACGGCCCUUACGUCCGGGGCUACACACGUGUUACAAUGGGGGGUACAGAGGGCCGCUACCACGCGAGUGGAUGCCAAUCCCCAAAACCUCUCUCAGUUCGGACUGGAGUCUGCAACCCGACUCCACGAAGCUGGAUUCGCUAGUAAUCGCGCAUCAGCCACGGCGCGGUGAAUACGUUCCCGGGCCUUGUACACACCGCCCGUCAAGCCAUGGGAGCCGGGGGUACCUGAAGUGCGUAACCGCGAGGAGCGCCCUAGGGUAAAACUGGUGACUG
This 1442-nucleotide ribosomal RNA is filed under the name uncultured organism. Its description in RNAcentral is "SSU rRNA". It matches the Rfam family "Bacterial small subunit ribosomal RNA". The record is from RNAcentral.